This 218-nucleotide unclassified non-coding RNA is filed under the name fungal sp. RNAcentral describes it as "partial internal transcribed spacer region". The stretch from base 1 to 46 matches the Rfam family "Eukaryotic small subunit ribosomal RNA", at positions 1786 to 1831 of the family's 1831-position model. Lineage: Eukaryota; Fungi. The record is from RNAcentral.
AAGUCGUAACAAGGUUUCCGUAGGUGAACCUGCGGAAGGAUCAUUAAUGUUUGCGAGCUUGGCGUAAGCUGAGCGAGCAGAGAGAGGGUGUGGUAUUGAUGGGGGAGAGUGGGGUAGUAGUACUCCACUGUCCUUUUCAUUAUACUAUUGCGAUUUUCAAACAAGUAUGAGCAAGUGAUUACGACACACAACUGUCACCGGUGGAUCUCUUGGCUCGU